This 495-nucleotide ribosomal RNA is filed under the name uncultured bacterium. Its description in RNAcentral is "bacterial SSU rRNA". It matches the Rfam family "Bacterial small subunit ribosomal RNA", at positions 379 to 895 of the family's 1533-position model. The record is from RNAcentral.
UAAUCUGAGCAGCGACGCCGCGUGCGUGAUGAAGGCCUUCGGGUUGUAAACCUCUUUUGUAAGGGAAGAUAAUGACUGUACCCUACGAAUAAGGUCCGGCUAACUUCACUAUGGGCCCCGCACCGCUACGAAGGGACCUGUGGUACGUUGGAAUUACUGGUUGUAAAGCGCGCGUUCGCCGGUGAUUUGUUUAAUUGUGAAAUCCCAAAGCUUAGCUUUGGAACUGCACUUAAAACUGCUCGACUAAAGUUUGAUAUGGGAAGGCGGAAUGCAUUUCGUGGAGGUGAAAUGGAUUGAUCUUAUGUAAAACGCCACUUGCAAAGGCGGCGUUCUGGAUCGGCACUGACGCUAAGGCGCGGAAGUAUGGGUUGCGGAGAGGAUUAGAUUCCCUCGUAUGCCAUUCCAUACCCUAUGAUGGCUAGACGUUGGAAAUUAAUUUUCAGUAUCUUCGCUAACGCAUUAAACAAUCCGCCUGGGGAGUACGACCGCUAGGAU